This 261-nucleotide ribosomal RNA is filed under the name uncultured bacterium. RNAcentral describes it as "partial 16S ribosomal RNA". It matches the Rfam family "Bacterial small subunit ribosomal RNA", at positions 92 to 353 of the family's 1533-position model. The record is from RNAcentral.
CGAGUGGCGGACGGGUGAGUAAUGUCUGGGAAACUGCCUGAUGGAGGGGGAUAACUACUGGAAACGGUAGCUAAUACCGCAUAACGUCGCAAGACCAAAGAGGGGGACCUUCGGGCCUCUUGCCAUCAGACGUGCCCAGAUGGGAUUAGCUAGUAGGUGGGGGUAACGGCUCACCUAGGCGACGAUCCCUAGCUGGUCUGAGAGGAUGACCAACCACACUGGAACUGAGACACGGUCCAGACUCCUACGGGAGGCAGCAUG